UUUGAUAUCAAUGGAAUAAGCUUAUAAACAGAACAAAAAGGUCGACUCUGACGUGAAGAGGAAAUAUUUGUUAGAGAGUGGAUAGACACAAGGGCGAAACAAAACGUACAGAACAGUUUUGUUGUAGAAUGUGAAACAGUUUAGGUACGAAACAAAAAAGUUGAUAGGAACGCAAAAAGUCAAUAUUUGAUGGAAACGAAAAACAUAAGCAGGUCUUCUAGUUUAACGUCAAAAGAGAGUUUUGAAUCAGCGAUUGAACUAAUAACAACUGACAGAAGCACAGAUGGAAAUGGUCGACAUUUUUUAGAUGAGAACCAGGAUAUUAAAGUUAAACAAAAAUCUGAUGGAAAGAAUAGUAAUGUAUUCAAAGACCACAAAUGUUGUUUGUUAAUUGCUACUAUCGUAUUUAUAGUGUUUCUGAGUAUCUUCAUCAUCACAAAUUACAAUCGCUGUGAGCCAACUCGUGAAUAUUCUUUUGUUUCCGGAAACUGCGCUAACUGUACAAAAGAAAAUAAAACAGAGGAAAAAGAAUAUCCUAGCAAAGAAGUCAAAGAUACAGAAUUUCAAGUUACACUUUGGGACACAUCGAUGACAGUUAUUAUACAAACCCAUGAAACGCUAUCUCUCCACCUCAGUCGAUAUGACGACAACACUACAAUGAUGAUAUGUAGAAAUAACAGAACGUCGUAUGAGCUCUUCUGUAACUCCCAAGCAAAACGUAAUUGCCAGUCUGUUCCUGUUCCUGUCAAUAAAUCAGUUACCAUCAGAAAUGAAACACAAGAUGAACAGAUCAUAUUUAACAUUGUGGCAAAAUGUAUAAAUCAAAAAGUUGGUAUCAAAUGGAUAAAUAUUUAGCCUGUAA
This is a long non-coding RNA of Mytilus californianus (California mussel), 862 nucleotides long. RefSeq lists it as uncharacterized. The record is from RefSeq and is a predicted model, not a curated record. NCBI's taxonomy places the organism in Eukaryota, Metazoa, Mollusca, Bivalvia, Mytilida, Mytilidae. The transcript has 4 exons.